Molecule: long non-coding RNA, 715 nt
Filed under: Mus musculus (house mouse)
Lineage: Eukaryota; Metazoa; Chordata; Mammalia; Rodentia; Muridae
Description: predicted gene, 26709
Source: RNAcentral
CACCGAUGGAGGCCUUGAGCCGCUCCUGCCAUGCUCCGCGACCUCGGGGACAGAACUUUCCCCAAACCCGGUGAGGGCAGAGGCUCCAAGGUCCGCCACAGCGCGCGCAGGCGCGCGUCCUCCUCUGUGCCCCGGACGGCGCUGCGCUCCCGGGGCGCGGACCCGAGAUCCUCCCGCGAGUCCCGGCCACAUCCGAAGCUGCGGGGAGUACUGCCUGAGCUAGGCGGCCGGACCUGGGCCUCUGGCCUCAAGAAGCUGGCACCAUAGUUCUGAACUCAGGGACCACGGUUGUUCCAGCAUCACCCUGCAAAAGAGGAAAUGGAGGGAGAGUGGAAAGGGACAAUUGUCUACUGUAGCAAAUCACAUUCUUUCUCACAAAUUUUCAAAAACUGCAUGAUCCUGUGAACACAUCACCAGGAAUUGCUUACAGGGCCUUGGAAGAGGCCGGUGCAGGUCCUGUCACCACUGUUGCUAACCCUACUCUACUCAGCUGAACUGCUGGUGUAUCCAUAAAGUGUUUAUGAAUGGAUUGAACUGCCGUUGCCUGCUGAACAGUGAACAGAUCUGCUGAUUUCCAGACAACACAGACGGGAGUUGCUCCAAAGAACCUUUCUAAACAGAGGACAGCUUUGCUGAGCAUUGCAUUCUAAAUUGAUGAGGAGUUUUUCCAACCUUUUAAACAUGACUCUCAUCUUCCUGGUGCCAUCUCUGUGUA